This is a non-coding RNA of Corylus avellana, 1342 nucleotides long. Lineage: Eukaryota; Viridiplantae; Streptophyta; Magnoliopsida; Fagales; Betulaceae. The record is from RefSeq and is a predicted model, not a curated record.
UGAGGCUUCCAGUGAAACGCACUUUCUACGAAAAUGCACGAUGCAAUUUUCAUUUAAUAAAACUUAUUAACUGACAAAAAUAUACAUGCCAAUUUCACGAAAUGACAUCCAUACUCAUGUAUAAACAUCAAACAACUGCUUCAAUCCAUACUUACAUAUAAACAUCAACCAAACCGGCAGUUGAGAGCCGCUACAGGGAGAGAGACCCAAGCAGAAGUUGUUGAUCUCGUCGCCGAAUUAUAAUUUAAUAAAUAAAAAAUACAUGUUAGAAUGCCUGAGAUUCCAAGUUAGCGUGCUACAACGGGCAUUGCCAGGGAUCCGAUAGACGCAGGGAUUGAUAGAGAACCCGGGAGAGCUCUAGAAGAAGAAGAAAAGGGGUUUCGGCCAUGGGUUGUACUGAGUCAUGCCGAGAGAGAGUGAGAGAGACGAUCUAAGAAAAAGAGGAAGAGAGAGAGAGCAUUGCUUCCUUCUCCCCUGUUCGUCGCAGCCCAAUCCCCUUCCCCUUUCUGCAUCGUCGCCGAGAGAGAGAGAGAGAGAGAGACCGAAGGCUGGAAGAAGAAGAAAAAGGAGGAGAUUGGGGACCAAAGGAGUUUCGGCCAUUGGAAGGUAUUCAUUCUACAGCUGAGCAUGUAAUUCUCUCAUGGUUUGCUAUUCAUUCUCAUGGUUUGGCAGCGUAAUUGGACGAAAUUAUAGUGCUAGAGCUGAACAUAUAAUUAUGGUGAUUUCGUUAAGAGGAAAACUGUGGCUUCGGUUACAAGAGAAGAGUAUGUUGAGAAGAGAAAUAAUUUUCAGAAAAAAAUCGAAGAGGAAGAGAAGGAGAAGCUUCAGAAGCAACAACAAGAAUGAGUUUAUAGAAUUUUGUAUAAUUUAGUGUCUUUUUUAGUGGAGUUUUUUGUUUUUUUGUUUGAUGGUUAAUUUUGUUGUUCUUUGUGUUAUAAGGAGGAAGAAAUUCAAUUAAAGAAGCAUAAAUAGAGGGAGAUAAAGGGAAAUUCACGGUUAUCGUUCGUGGUUGAUAUCGAUAAAGAAUGGUAGUGAAGAGGAGGAUGGUGAAAAUGGUGCUGAAGGUGGAGAAAGAAUCUAUAAAUCUAGUCCCGUUAUGUUUGGCUUCUCCAGUCCUGAAGUUGUGAAGCUAAUUGUUAUCUAUUGUGUUAUCCUUAGCUGUUAGCUACCAUUUAUUUCAAUUGUUUUAUCUUUACCGCUCUCUUACGUACGAAAGGGGGAUGGGGUCAAUUACCCGUAGGAGUUUGAUUAAUGGUGAGGAUUAUUGUACAGUAUGCGUUUGCGACAUGUAAUUAAUUUGAGUAAAGUUUUCCUACGUUAUCAAAAAAAAAAAAAAAAAGGA